Molecule: ribosomal RNA, 538 nt
Filed under: uncultured Hymenobacter sp.
Lineage: Bacteria; Pseudomonadati; Bacteroidota; Cytophagia; Cytophagales; Hymenobacteraceae
Description: bacterial SSU rRNA
Rfam family: Bacterial small subunit ribosomal RNA
Source: RNAcentral
UGGCGCACGGGUGCGUAACGCGUAACCAACCUACCCGAAUCUGGGGGAUAGCCCGCCGAAAGGCGGAUUAAUACCGCAUAAAACUGCAGCCUGGCAUCAGGUAACAGUUAAAGAUUUAUUGGAUUCGGAUGGGGUUGCGUGCCAUUAGCUAGUUGGCGGGGUAACGGCCCACCAAGGCGACGAUGGCUAGGGGACCUGAGAGGGUGAUCCCCCACACUGGCACUGAGAUACGGGCCAGACUCCUACGGGAGGCAGCAGUAGGGAAUAUUGGGCAAUGGACGAGAGUCUGACCCAGCCAUGCCGCGUGCCGGAUGAAGGCCUUCUGGGUUGUAAACGGCUUUUCUCAGGGAAGAAAAAGACCAUGCGUGGUACACUGACGGUACCUGAGGAAUAAGCACCGGCUAACUCCGUGCCAGCAGCCGCGGUAAUACGGAGGGUGCAAGCGUUGUCCGGAUUUAUUGGGUUUAAAGGGUGCGUAGGUGGCCCGUUAAGUCCGGGGUGAAAUCCCACAGCUCAACUGUGGAACUGCCCUGGAUAC